RNAcentral lists this small nucleolar RNA (89 nucleotides) under Olea europaea subsp. europaea. RNAcentral describes it as "Small nucleolar RNA snoR27". It matches the Rfam family "Small nucleolar RNA snoR27". Lineage: Eukaryota; Viridiplantae; Streptophyta; Magnoliopsida; Lamiales; Oleaceae. The record is from Rfam by way of RNAcentral.
UUUGGAUCGGUGAUGAUACUAAAAAAACGCGCUGUCUAUCUGCAACUUCCUCGAAGGAAUUGAUGAGCCGAUGCGGUCUGAGGUCCAAG